RNAcentral lists this ribosomal RNA (1639 nucleotides) under metagenome. RNAcentral describes it as "bacterial LSU rRNA". It matches the Rfam family "Bacterial large subunit ribosomal RNA", at positions 1200 to 2925 of the family's 2925-position model. The record is from RNAcentral.
GUUAGGCUGCAUGAAAGUGCGGGGUAGGGGAGCGUUGUGUAAGCGGAGAAACAGUAGCGUAAGCGGCUGUGGAGUUUACAGAAGUGAGAAUGCCGGAAUGAGUAGCGCGAAUGUGGUGAGAAUCCACAUGGCCGGAAACCUCAGGUUUUUGGAGGAAGGUUCGUCCGCUCCAAGUUAGGCGGGAGCUAAGGUCAGGCCGAAAGGCGUAGCCGAUGCACAGACGGUAGAGAUUCCGUCCCCACCGAAAAAUUUAAGCACAGGGACACUUUUAGAAGGUCGGAGCCAGGUGUUGGUUCUGGUAGUGAUCGAGGGAAAUUUAGUACCGAAGUCCGGCUGGAUGAGAGGCGAGAAAAGCUGUGUGUAUAUCUAGGGUGCCCGUACCGCAAACCGACACAGGUAGGUAGGAAGAAGAUUCUAAGGCCAACGGGAGAAGGGUUGUUAAGGAACUCGGCAAGUUGACCCCGUAACUUCGGAAUAAGGGGUGCUCACGAGAGUGAGCCGCAGAGAAUAGGCCCAGGCAACUGUUUACCAAAAACACAGGUUUGUGCUAAAUCGAAAGAUGACGUAUACGAGCUGACGCCUGCCCGGUGCUGGAAGGUUAAAAGGAGAUGUGCAAGCAUUGAAUUGAAGCCCCAGUGAACGGCGGCCGUAACUAUAACGGUCCUAAGGUAGCGAAAUUCCUUGUCAGGUAAGUUCUGACCCGCAUGAAAGGCGUAAUGAUCUGGGCACUGUCUCAACAGCCCGCCCGGCGAAAUUGUAGUACCGGUGAAGAUGCCGGUUACCCGCGACAAGACGGAAAGACCCCAUGGAGCUUUACUGUAGCCUGAUAUUGGGUUUCGGUGUUGCAUGCACAGGAUAGAUGGGACGCUGGGAAAGAAGCGCUUUGGCGUUUCUGGAGCGGACGUUGGGAUACCAUCCUUGCGACAUUGGAAUUCUAACCUGCGCCUCUGAAUCGAGGCGGGGGACAUUGUCAGGUGGGCAGUUUGACUGGGGCGGUCGCCUCCUAAAAAGUAGCGGAGGCGUUCAAAGGUUCGUUCGAUCUGGACGGAAACCAGAUGAUUGAGUGCAAACGCAUAAACGAGCCUGACUGCGAGACUGACGGGUCGAGCAGAGACGAAAGUCGGAGUUAGUGAUCCGGUGGUAUGUGAGUGGAAAUGCCAUCGCUCAACGGAUAAAAGUUACCCUGGGAUAACAGGCUGAUCUCCCCCAAGAGUCCACAUCGACGGGGAGGUUUGGCACCUUGAUGUCGGCUCAUCGCAUCCUGGGGCUGAAUUCGGUCCCAAGGGUUUGGCUGUUCGCCAAUUAAAGCGGUACGGGAGCUGGGUUCAGAACGUCGUGAGACAGUUCGGUCCCUAUCUGUCGUGGGCGCAGGAUAUUUGCAAGGCGCUGUCCCUAGUACGAGAGGACCGGGAUGGACGAACCUCUGGUGCACCAGUUGUCACGCCAGUGGCACAGCUGGGCAGCUAUGUUCGGAUCGGAUAAACGCUGAAAGCAUCUAAGCGUGAAGCCGGCCUUAAGAUAAGAUAUCCCACUGAGUCAAUCAGGUAAGACCCCUUGGAGACUACAAGGUUGAUAGGCACACAGUGUAAGCGGAGUGAUCCGUUCAGCUAGCGUGUACUAAUAGGUCGAGGGCUUGACC